GCUAUACAUGCAAGUCGAGCGAACGGACGAGAGUGCUUGCACUCUCUGAUGUUAGCGGCGGACGGGUGAGUAACACGUGGGUAACCUACCUAUAAGACUGGGAUAACUUCGGGAAACCGGAGCUAAUACCGGAUAAUAUUUAGCUUCGCAUGAAGCAAUAGUGAAAGACGGUUCUGCUGUCACUUAUAGAUGGACCCGCGGUGUAUUAGCUAGUUGGUGAGGUAACGGCUCACCAAGGCAACGAUACAUAGCCGACCUGAGAGGGUGAUCGGCCACACUGGGACUGAGACACGGCCCAGACUCCUACGGGAGGCAGCAGUAGGGAAUCUUCCGCAAUGGACGAAAGUCUGACGGAGCAACGCCGCGUGAGUGAAGAAGGUUUUCGGAUCGUAAAACUCUGUUGUAAGGGAAGAACAAGUACGUUAGUAACUGAACGUACCUUGACGGUACCUUACCAGAAAGCCACGGCUAACUACGUGCCAGCAGCCGCGGUAAUACGUAGGUGGCAAGCGUUAUCCGGAAUUAUUGGGCGUAAAGCGCGCGUAGGCGGUCUCUUAAGUCUGAUGUGAAAGCCCCCGGCUCAACCGGGGAGGGUCAUUGGAAACUGGGAGACUUGAGUGCAGAAGAGGAGAGUGGAAUUCCAUGUGUAGCGGUGAAAUGCGCAGAGAUAUGGAGGAACACCAGUGGCGAAGGCGGCUCUCUGGUCUGUAACUGACGCUGAGGUGCGAAAGCGUGGGGAUCAAACAGGAUUAGAUACCCUGGUAGUCCACGCCGUAAACGAUGAGUGCUAAGUGUUGGGGGGGUUUCCGCCCCUCAGUGCUGCAGCUAACGCAUUAAGCACUCCGCCUGGGGAGUACGGUCGCAAGACUGAA
This 872-nucleotide ribosomal RNA is filed under the name Staphylococcus sp. SP031. Its description in RNAcentral is "bacterial SSU rRNA". It matches the Rfam family "Bacterial small subunit ribosomal RNA", at positions 48 to 898 of the family's 1533-position model. The record is from RNAcentral. Lineage: Bacteria; Bacillati; Bacillota; Bacilli; Caryophanales; Staphylococcaceae.